This is a non-coding RNA of Ictidomys tridecemlineatus (thirteen-lined ground squirrel), 2168 nucleotides long. The record is from RefSeq and is a predicted model, not a curated record. Lineage: Eukaryota; Metazoa; Chordata; Mammalia; Rodentia; Sciuridae.
GCCCACGCUCCUUCAGUCAUUCAACAAACACACGCACUGUUGGGCGAAGGCCUGCUGCACCUCAGCAUCUUUGUUGACGCUGCUGCCACCCGGGCUGGGUGGCUCUGUGUGGAGCAGCACCCCUGGCCUCUGGUCCUGGGGUGCCCGUGUGGCAGCCAGAGAGUCUGCAGACACGGCCAACCCUGGCCCAGGAGCAGAGUGGCUCCCGGCUGGAACCGCAGUCCCCGAGGAUGAGCUCCGAGGUGCUGCAAGCGGCAAGUGCACCGUAUCCUCACCAGACAGAGCGCGUGCUGGCGUGGACAGGCUCGCCUGCUCAGUCACAUGCCAGCGCUGGCGAGGGGCACAGACCCACUGGGUCUCACUGCAGAGCCUGGCGGUGGCCCUCUCACGCCUGACCCUGAGGGCGAGUCACACCUUGGAGGCCCCUGGAGGCCCUGGAGAGGCUGCUUCUGCACGCGGCUUCCUGAAGACGCCCCUCUUGUCCCCUCCUGUCCCCUCCGCCCGCCCGCUGCCUUUCCACGGGGAGGGCUUCUCUGGUGUAAAGCGGGACUUUCUCAGAUGGCCCGCCGCCCCCUCCUUGGUGUGGAGGCGCAUUUGUACAGAGAGAAUGUCACGAAUCAGAACCUGGAGACGAUCACUCACUAGUCACCAGCACUCCUGGACUUGGAGAGCAGCCUGGAUCAGGCCCGCUCCUCCCGCUGAGCUCCCAGGCCUUCUAACCUUCUUCUAAUCUUUAGGGCAAACUUCUGCAGGAGGGGCCGAGACGAUCUCCAGGAUACAAAUGAGGAAACUGAGGCACAGAGAGGGAAGGAACUUGCCCAAGGCCACACAGCUGGGGAGUGGCAGAGCCUGGGUGCUUAGCUCCUCCGCUAACCCGCCCCUCCUGACGGGGCUAGCUGAGGCCUGGGGACCUCACACGCAGGAAGGCGUUUAAUCUCUCACUGUCUGACAGGUCGCCUGGGGCCAACAGGAACCGCUCUGCUGCAACAGCUGUCAGGGUCUCUGCCGUGAGGAGCCCGGGUGCUCAGCCUGGUCAGCGAGACAGCUGGCCACUGUCCCCGAUGCCACCAGCUGCCUGGGGCUCUCCCCACCUGUCCUUCAGCAGCCAUGGCCGUCCCCUCCUAGAGUCCUGGCUGGGUCCUGGCCACCCUCACAGAACACAGUCUUCAGCCCUUGGGGACAGGAGGCCUGGCUGGACGUGACCUUUGUGGCUUCUCUUUGGGUCUUUUCUUCCUUUCUGAGAUGGGGUGGUGCUCUGCUGCCGAGGCUGGCCUCUCUGCUCAGCCUCCAGAGCAGCAGGGACUACGGGUACACACCUCUGGGCCCAGCUGUCUUUUCUUGUCCUCACUCAGGGCUUGAGUCUGUGCCCCCAGCUACACGGCCAAAGCAGCUGCUGUGUUUUUACCAUCAUUUUCUUUUUAUUAGCGACCGUAGCAACGGCAGAGUGGUCAGGAACGUGGGCUUCGGGUCUGGACACUGCCUGAAACUGGCUCCUGCUCAGAUCCAACGUGAUCGUGGGCAGAUGACUGAGCCUCUCAGUGCUUCUGUUUUUAAUCUGUGAAACUGUUCCUUUUUAAGGGGACACCAACCUCGAGGGCUGUCAGGACUCUGUCACAAGCUGAUGGACAAGAGGCACUGAGAACAAAAACUGGCACACAGAAAAUGCUCAGUAAGUGCUAGCUAUUACUAUUCAUGACUUGCACUUAUGCCCAAUGCACACAGGAAGCCCUCACUACCCACUGUGCCUUACAAUUUGGAUAGAUCCUUGAAAGGCCAGACCAAACCCUCGCUCCUCCAUGAAGAUUUCUUAGAUUCCCUGCUGGGCAUAUCACACCACCUGUGCGUCUCUACAAGUCUUAGCACUACACUAGCCACACAUGGGCACUCAGUAUGUGCCAGUACUGUCCCCAGGCUGAACAGACAUGAUGUUAUUUUACUCUCUUCUCAACUUUACAUAUAACAACAAUAUUCCACUAUAGAUGAGGAAACUCAAGCUUGGAGAGAUAAAAAGACUGGUCCAAGGUCACAGCAAUAGUGAGUGGACCAGGUGGAACAUGAUGAACUCAGAGGGUGGGCACAGCUUGUGGAAGGGAAGAGGAAUGGGCAUUUUAGCUGCCCAUCUCUGCCUCUUGCAAAUAGAGAGAAACAUAAAAACCCAAUGUCUCAGA